RNAcentral lists this ribosomal RNA (496 nucleotides) under uncultured bacterium. RNAcentral's name for it is "partial 16S ribosomal RNA". It matches the Rfam family "Bacterial small subunit ribosomal RNA", at positions 28 to 506 of the family's 1533-position model. The record is from RNAcentral.
GAUGAACGCUGGCGGCGUGCCUAAUACAUGCCAGUAGAACGCUGAAGCUUGGUGCUUGCACCGAGCGGAUGAGUUGCGAACGGGUGAGUAACGCGUAGGUAACCUGCCUCUUAGCGGGGGAUAACUAUUGGAAACGAUAGCUAAUACCGCAUAAAAGUCGAUAUCGCAUGAUAUUGAUUUGAAAGGUGCAAAUGCAUCACUAAGAGAUGGACCUGCGUUGUAUUAGCUAGUUGGUGAGGUAACGGCUCACCAAGGCGACGAUACAUAGCCGACCUGAGAGGGUGAUCGGCCACACUGGGACUGAGACACGGCCCAGACUCCUACGGGAGGCAGCAGUAGGGAAUCUUCGGCAAUGGGGGCAACCCUGACCGAGCAACGCCGCGUGAGUGAAGAAGGUUUUCGGAUCGUAAAGCUCUGUUGUAAGAGAAGAACGAGUGUGAGAGUGGAAAGUUCACACUGUGACGGUAACUUACCAGAAAGGGACGGCUAACUACGU